GAUGAACGCUAGCGGGAGGCCUAAUACAUGCAAGUCGAGCGGUAGAGUGACUUCGGUUGCUUGAGAGCGGCGCACGGGUGAGUAACGCGUACAUGACCUACCUUUAAGACUGGGAUAGCCCUGGGAAACUGGGAUUAAUACCGGAUGUGAUAAUACGUAUAGAGAUGUAUUAUUAAAGUUGAGGCGCUUAGAGAUGGAUGUGCGUCUGAUUAGCUAGUUGGUAGGGUAACGGCCUACCAAGGCGACGAUCAGUAGGGGGCGUGAGAGCGUGGCCCCCCACACGGGUACUGAGACACGGACCCGACUCCUACGGGAGGCAGCAGUAAGGAAUAUUGGUCAAUGGACGGAAGUCUGAACCAGCCAUCCCGCGUGCAGGAUGACUGCCCUAUGGGUUGUAAACUGCUUUUAGCAGAGACGAAACGCCUCCUAUUAUUGAGGGUCGUGUACGGUACGUCUUCGCAGAAUAAAGACGACCGACCGUACUACCGUCG
Molecule: ribosomal RNA, 491 nt
Filed under: uncultured bacterium
Lineage: Bacteria
Description: bacterial SSU rRNA
Rfam family: Bacterial small subunit ribosomal RNA
Source: RNAcentral